GACGCUGUGUAGUCAACUGACGCACUCGUGUGAGAGAUAAGCAGCAAAAAACACUGACUUCAUGUGAUACUUCACCUCAGUGUUGCUGUUGCUAACGGAUGACCCCAAAAUGAAAUGCCAACGAAGGCGACUGUGCCGGCAAAAGGUGACGUGCCUGGCAAACGGCAGUCAACAGAAACGUCAACCAAACCGAGCUUCCCCAGAUAGAAGCACUUGGCUGGGAGGGAUGGAAAUCAGUCAUUUUCAUGAACGUGCGGACAGGACAUCAGUGGACACACCAUUUGACUCCUUGGUCAAAUUAAAGUACUCAACGCCGAAGGUGUCGCCAACGAGAACCAAACGGACGUAUUUAGAGAUGUGACUUUAUGCGUCCUUUCCUAGAAAAUGACGACUUAAAGGGGAAAUAGGAACGUA
This is a long non-coding RNA of Gadus morhua (Atlantic cod), 414 nucleotides long. RefSeq lists it as uncharacterized. Lineage: Eukaryota; Metazoa; Chordata; Actinopteri; Gadiformes; Gadidae. The record is from RefSeq and is a predicted model, not a curated record. The transcript is spliced from 2 exons.